Molecule: long non-coding RNA, 113 nt
Organism: Etheostoma spectabile (orangethroat darter)
Lineage: Eukaryota; Metazoa; Chordata; Actinopteri; Perciformes; Percidae
Exons: 4
Source: RefSeq, a predicted model, not a curated record
AAAUGAGUCACCUGGUCCCUAGCCUAGAAAUCUAGACGCACCCUAACGGCAGCAAAUGUAAUCUGCAGCCAGGGCGGUCUAGCAACUCUCCGUUGGCUAGCGAGCUGUAAAAG